GGCCGCCUUGACGAAGUGGUCCGGGUCGAGCCCGCCGCGGGCGAGCUGGUCCGGGCCGGAGAACGGGCUGACGGCGUUCACCGCGGCGUGGUGGCCG
RNAcentral lists this transfer RNA (97 nucleotides) under Actinoplanes octamycinicus. RNAcentral's name for it is "tRNA-Arg". The record is from RNAcentral. Lineage: Bacteria; Bacillati; Actinomycetota; Actinomycetes; Micromonosporales; Micromonosporaceae.